RNAcentral lists this ribosomal RNA (253 nucleotides) under uncultured bacterium. RNAcentral describes it as "partial 16S ribosomal RNA". It matches the Rfam family "Bacterial small subunit ribosomal RNA", at positions 524 to 776 of the family's 1533-position model. The record is from RNAcentral.
UACGUAGGGUGCGAGCGUUAAUCGGAAUUACUGGGCUUAAAGCGUGUGUAGGUGGAUGCCUAAGUACCUUGUGAAAUCCCACAGCUUAACUGUGGAACUGCUUGGUAUACUGGGUGUCUUGAGUCACUCAGGGGCGAGCGGAACAAAUGGUGGAGCGGUGAAAUGCGUAGAUAUCAUUUGGAACGCCAAUGGUGAAAACAGCUCGCUGGGGGUGCACUGACACUGAGACACGAAAGCCAGGGGAGCGAACGGG